Capra hircus (goat) is the source of this 2725-nucleotide long non-coding RNA. RefSeq lists it as uncharacterized. The record is from RefSeq and is a predicted model, not a curated record. NCBI's taxonomy places the organism in Eukaryota, Metazoa, Chordata, Mammalia, Artiodactyla, Bovidae. The transcript is spliced from 2 exons.
CUGCCUGGCCCCCAGCCAGUUUCCUGCUAAAGAUGGCCAGAUCCUCUCGCCUGGUUUGAAGACCACAUAGCCUGGUGACGCUGGGAAUGGGAGGAAGGAGGAGCCUGCGGUACAAGCAAGAAAAGUGAUACAGAAGGUGGAAAUGGCUGGAUUGAAAAGAAGACAACUGUGAUAGAGGAUGACAGGCGCCUGAGUCAAGGCAAGCAGCAGAAUCCAGACACAGACUCAAGACACACUGGGUCCCAGAGAAACCACCUUACCAAGUCCAGAGAAAGAUGGGCCAGAGGGCCUCAGGGUGGGGGGUGGGAGGGGUCACCGACAAAACAGGGAAUGAGAAAUCUGAGGAUGGAAAUGGUGUUCACCCCGUCAGUUCCUCAGGGAAACACAGACUAACACUCCCCUCCCACCCUCUGCCCUCCUCCACUGAGAAGCCAAAUGACUGACAAUUGACUCUUGACCUUUAGCCCAAUCCCAGCCCCAAAGGGAGAAACUGAAGGUAGCUGGCUGUAACUGGAGGAGGCACGGCGGAAAUAUCUACACAUGACGAAAACAUUUCUUCACCCACCCCUGCCCUUCCAACUGCGCACUUCCACACGCUACACAGGACCGGACAUUGCAUAUGAAUGCCCUCUUCUCUCUGCAGAAACCACGCGCUACUUCCAGUGGAUGGCCCUGCUGUGAUUCCCAACCUGGAACCUUGUAUUCCUGCCCCAGUACAGAGGCAGCUCCUAUUCUCUCAUUUGACUUUGAAAGAGAUAUUUUGAGGGGGUGCCAUGCUGUCUUGGGAGAGAUUAGGAAAAGGUAUCUUCUUGCAAGUAUGUACGGCUUGGUGCCAGAACAGGUGGAUCUCGGCUCUGUCAACCCCUUAGCUGGGUACCCUAGACAACUGGACACAGAGGCCCUGGUCUGCACGUGUGCCUAUAAGAGGGGGCAGUGAGAGCCAAUGGGAUUACCUCAGGGUGCUGAAAGGCACCUCUAAAUCCUUCACCCUAUCUCACUGGCCUAAGGUGGAGGAGGGGUGGGCAGGCAGUCCCCUGGAGCUUUCCACAGAGAGGCAAGGGGCUCUGGAAAAGUGAGUGGUGGGAUGACUGAGAAGCCAGAGAAGAAAGAUGGAAAAAUCAAUGAAAUGAGUUUCUAACGGUGAGGUAAAGGACCGCCGUGUCGACAGCCUGUCGCCUGCUGCAAAAUAUGAGCUGCCCAAGUCCAUGGCAGCGGCUGACAGUGCAUCCAGCUGCCACCAUCCUCGCUGGAGGCCCCCGCCCGCCAGACCCUUCUCCAGCUGCCCUGGCCAUUCUUAUUAUAGACAGGCUCUCCCUCAGGGCUCCCAGUUUGCGGCCUCUCCGCCAGGGCUUCUUUCCUAGAUUCCUUUGAUCCAUUCAGGGCAUUUUUGACUCUUCACCACAGGCACAGGUUAUAAUUCCUGAUUGGGUGCAUCCUUUUCCUCUGCGGCUUCUGUGUUUAGCAGCCUGCUCACAGAUCUCAGAGUUGUGAUGAGCUGUGCAUCUCUUGCCAUCUCCUGUUUUACUCUAUACCUCUAGAGUCCCAACAACGCAAUGCAUAGCCAGACGUCAAGGCCAUCCCUCUCAGGGCUUCUUACAUAUAUAAGUCUGUGCUUCUUUCUGCCUUUUGGCCCACUUGGCCAACACUGAAUUCCUUGUAAUUGUCUAGGUUUGGACAAGAUUUUGGGUCUGUAUUGAUACGAACUCUGUGGCUAGCAUGUUUGUGUGCAUGCAUGCGUGUAUACUUAUUUAUUUACAUAUGGCAGAUUCCAUUGUGGUUUCAUGACUGGGAAUGGGGUGGGUUAAGGAUGCUACUUCCAAUUCAAAUCUCCGAAUCUGUCUUUAGAAACAACUCUUAACCUUUUCUGGAAACCACCUCCUUUCUCUAGCCUCCUCCGUAUCUUCCUCCUGGGCUUCUAAGACUGUUCAUUCAUGUUUUCUCCCAGGAUCUCUGCAGACUCCCCAGAUCAGCCCCUAGAAUCAGCCCUGGAUGCCUCUGAGUGUGCCCCUGACACAGUAUCUCCUCUCUCCGCCUCAGGUUUCACAGGCACUUCUGGUAACUGCCUUCCAGUCCUUUCCUCCAGUGUCUGCUUUCUCAACUCACCCAUUUAUGCAGACUUAGGCCUGAGAGCUGGGGUGAAAAGAAGGCGGGCACCUCUUCCUUAGCCUCCUCUUAUUUAUUCACCAUCUUGAUCAAUAGAUAUUAAGCAUCCCCUGUGUGACAGACAUUGUGCUAGGUGCUAGAAAACCAUCAGAAGCUAGACACAGGCAAUGCCUGCUCAUAUGGCCAUCAGGACUAACCCUGGGUCUCUCACUGACAGCUUCUCUCAGAGUCCCCCCCUACCUCCCCCUUUUACCUUCACAGCCAAGUUCCAUUCAAGAUCCUUCCUUUUCCUGUAUCCCUGUUUCACACAGCUCUCACAUGGCUCCUAUCCCCUCUAAUCUGCAUUUCCAGCUUCGUGUCCAUUCCUAAACCCAAAGCCCAAAGCGAGCUUCAUCUUACAUUUUUAGUAACUCUCCUUCCUGCUCCCAAAGCCCUUCUCCUUUCACAUUCUGUAACUGCCCAUUUCCACUCUCUUCCUUCUUUGCCUGUUUUUCAGUCCUACCAUUCCAUCCUCAAUGCCCCUGUCUCCUGAGAUCAUUUUCUCUUGCUCCUGCAGGCUCUAGUAAACCUCAGGUGCCCACAAACAAGACUUCAUUUAGAGCUAAGAAUAGCUGCAGGGAGG